CAGUAGCCGCGGUAAUACGUAGGUGGCAAGCGUUGUCCGGAAUUAUUGGGCGUAAAGGGCUCGCAGGCGGUUUCUUAAGUCUGAUGUGAAAGCCCCCGGCUCAACCGGGGAGGGUCAUAGGAAACUGUCGGGCUUGAGAGUGGGAGAGGUGAGUGGAAUUUCCGGUGUAGCGGUGAAAUGCGUAGAUAUCGGAAGGAACACCCGUGGCGAAAGCGGCUCACUGGACCAUUUCUGACGCUGAUGCACGAAAGCUAGGGGAGCAAACAGGAUUAGAUACCCCUGUAGUCCCUGUCUCUUAUAU
RNAcentral lists this ribosomal RNA (301 nucleotides) under uncultured bacterium. RNAcentral's name for it is "partial 16S ribosomal RNA". It matches the Rfam family "Bacterial small subunit ribosomal RNA", at positions 509 to 809 of the family's 1533-position model. The record is from RNAcentral.